Molecule: ribosomal RNA, 250 nt
Filed under: uncultured bacterium
Lineage: Bacteria
Description: partial 16S ribosomal RNA
Rfam family: Bacterial small subunit ribosomal RNA
Source: RNAcentral
UACGUAGGGGGCAAGCGUUGUCCGGAAUCAUUGGGCGUAAAGGGCGCGUAGGCGGCUAUAUAAGUCUGAUGUGAAAGUGCGGAGCUUAACUCCGUAAAGCAUUGGAUACUGUAUGGCUUGAGGACAGGAGAGGAAAGUGGAAUUCCACGUGUAGCGGUGAAAUGCGUAGAGAUGUGGAGGAACACCAGUGGCGAAGGCGACUUUCUGGACUGUAACUGACGCUGAGGCGCGAAAGCGCGGGGAGCGAACA